RNAcentral lists this ribosomal RNA (375 nucleotides) under Triticum aestivum (bread wheat). RNAcentral describes it as "partial small subunit ribosomal RNA". Lineage: Eukaryota; Viridiplantae; Streptophyta; Magnoliopsida; Poales; Poaceae. The record is from RNAcentral.
AUGGGUCGGUCGCCAUCCUCCACCGGUGUCGCCGGCGUGAAGAAGGGCCCGUGGACGGUAGAGGAGGAUAUACUGCUCAUAAACUACUUCCAGAGGCAUGGCAACGGCGGCAACUGGCGAACCUUGCCCCAGUGCGCCGGCCUGAACCGCUCCGGCAAGAGCUGCCGCCUCCGCUGGACCAACUACCUCCGCCCCAACAUCAAGCGCGGAACCUUCACCGACGAUGAGGAGAAAACCAUCAUACACCUCCACUCCAUUCACGGGAACAAGUAUGUGUAUUAUUCUCUGUUGUGUCUGUCGAUAUCUUUCUUCUUCUCCAACUCCGGUGUCAAGCCACACUGUGUCGCUGCUGAAUGCUUACGAAUUGAACUUUAA